GGCUUCGUAGUUCAACUGGAUAGAAUAUCAGAUUUCGGCUCUGAGGGUUGGGGGUUCGAAUCCUCCCGAGGUCA
Molecule: transfer RNA, 74 nt
Filed under: Bacteroidota bacterium
Lineage: Bacteria; Pseudomonadati; Bacteroidota
Also listed under: 2 other names
Description: tRNA-Arg
Rfam family: tRNA
About the family: Transfer RNA (tRNA) molecules are approximately 80 nucleotides in length. Their secondary structure includes four short double-helical elements and three loops (D, anti-codon, and T loops).
Source: RNAcentral